Hevea brasiliensis (rubber tree) is the source of this 1897-nucleotide long non-coding RNA. RefSeq lists it as uncharacterized. The record is from RefSeq and is a predicted model, not a curated record. NCBI's taxonomy places the organism in Eukaryota, Viridiplantae, Streptophyta, Magnoliopsida, Malpighiales, Euphorbiaceae. The transcript is spliced from 2 exons.
GGACCUGUAUGGGCCAUGACAAACGGGUGAUCCUGAACCCCGAGAAAAAGUUUCAAGCUUGAUGUGCUUCUCCCAAAUACUGUGACGAUUGUGAUAAUCCUUUGCUUUAUAUUUUCCUUGUGUAUUUAGUGGUGCUUGGCAAUUAACUUUUUCCUGUUGUUUGCAAUUCAUGAUCUGCAUGUGAUGAGUCUUGUGCUCACUGAGUUGCAGUGUAUAAUCCUUGCUUACUUUUUCAGGUAGUACCCAAAAUUUGACAGAUACUCUGGGCCAAAUUACUUAUAUUAAAAUAUUACUUAGGUCCUAUCAGUUUUCCUUUUGUAUGAUGAUAAUAAUUAUUAAUGUUUGAUAAUUGGUUAUACCAUUGAGUAUGAUUUUAGAUAGUUGAGUAUAACAUGGAUUUUGAUUAGUUUGUCACAUCUAUAUUUGCUACCCAUUCAUAAACAGUCCUGUCCUUUUCCGGAUAGUGGCGAUAUCUGAACAGGCAUCGAAGCCAGCAGGAGAGUCCUCUAAUUCAGAAAAUUCUUCAAAUACCUUGGAUUGGAAUGGAAAUCAUUCGAUAUGCGUCCUGUCAUUGGUGCCACAGAAGGUCUUUUGCAUUUCACAUGCUUCCUUGUCUGGGAUAUGAUUAUGGUGGCUGAUGUUAUUUUACAAGAUGAAGUUGUCAGUUGCAUUUUAGAUGAGAAACAUGAACCAAGAGAGGCAUUUAAGUCUGAGGGCCAUCCAAUGUUCAUGAAGAUGGUAAUAAUGGGUUUCCAUAUCAAUGCCAAGCAGUAAAGUUGGCCCCAGAGAUGCGGACGGCAAUGCUUAUAAGCAUGACAUUGAAGCCUGACUUUCAUAGAUUUACUCGAUGUCAUUUCAGCCUUUUCCUAACAUUUCAGCCAUGAACUUCCUAUGAUUUUUUGGGGUUUAUAUGUCUAGACUUUUGCAUGAGUUGGUAAGAAACUAUAGAUUUAAUGACCUAUAAGAUUAAUAAUCUUUCAUUACUAGUAUCGCCAAAGAAAUGCACAGGUUUCAGCUUUUCUGACGGUGCAUAUACUUGAAGACUUAGCAUCCAAGCCCUACAGAGAGCUCAAUGGUUUUGGAGGCGAAUCAGUAAGUACGAAGAAAUCUCAUUUCCAUGUCCUAUUGCUUCCUAGAUGUUAUUAAGCAGCCACAGUUGAUGGCCCUUCUCAUCCAAGUUCUAGAGAGAGAUCACUAGUCUUGGAGGCGAAUCAGAAAGUAUGAUGAAAUCUCAUUUUUCCAUGUCCUAUUGCUAAUUCCUAGAUGUUAUAUGCAGCCAAAGUUGCAGGAUGUCAAUGGAGGAAAACUGAGAACAACAUAACAUCUAUUGGGCUAACUUGCAAAUGUUCUAGACUCAACAAUUGAUUGGAGCUAGGUUUUGGUCUUGGAAGUGAAGCUUGAUCUUUAAAGCAAAUGUGUAGUCUUCUAAAUGCUGAGAAUGAUGGUCCGGCACUUCAUUCCAAGUCUACUCUUGCCCUACCAUCAUUAAGUUCAAAGUUCAAACCCACCACAUAAUAAAAAAAAUAAAAUCCCUUUAUUUAGCAGGAAAGUAAAAGAAUAAUAAUAAAGAAAAAAGAUCUUUUAAUGGUAAUGGAAAACCACGCUUCGGGACCCAACGCGUGUCGCCCAUCCCUCACCAUCUCACCGGAGGGCAGGAACAGGAACUUAGCUUUCUUGUUUCCCCAGUAGAAGGACAUGAGAGGUGUGGGGAGAAGAAAAUAACUAAUCAGACGAUGUGUCUCUCUCAUUAGCACAGUGGGUUUUCCCCGAUGGAAGGGAACAAAUUAUUGAAGCAAAUUAGAAAAUUAUGGAGUGGGCCAGAUAUGACUAAUUCUUGUCAAAUUAUUAAGAUUGUGAUUUCCAUAUAAAUAAUACAAUCACAGUUGAUAUUGUUUUA